GGUCAAGUGAGGUAAGGGCAUAUGGUGGAUGCCUCGGCACUUGGAGCCGAAGAAGGACGCGGCAAGCGGCGAAACGCUCCGGGGAGCCGCAAGCGGGCGAAGAUCCGGAGGUCUCCGAAUGGGGGAACCCACUCGAGGUAAUACUCGAGUAUCCACUGAUGAACACAUAGUCAGUGGAGGGGAACCGCGCGAACUGAAACAUCUAAGUAGCGCGAGGAAAAGAAAGAAAGGAAUCGAUUCCCUAAGUAGCGGCGAGCGAAAGGGGAGGAGCCCAAACCCGGCACUCAAGUGGACAUGGAAUUAUAGGCAAAAAAGAUGAUAUAAUACGUGUCCACUUGAGUGCCGGGGGUUAGGACCCACCGUAAAAGUGAGUGAGUACUCUAGGCGAACGGAUCUGGAAAGGCCGGCCGAAGAAGGUGAAAGCCCUGUAGUCGAAAGGGGAAAGCUUGCUGGUGGGGACCAGAGUACCACGGGAUAGGCGACCCUGUGGGAAGGCGGGAGGACCACCUCCCAAGGCUAAAUACUACCAAGUGACCGAUAGCGGAUAGUACCGUGAGGGAAAGGUGAAAAGAACCCCGGGAGGGGAGUGAAAGAGAACCUGAAACCAUAUGCCUACAAGCAGUCAGAGUCUGCCGUAAGGCAGAUGAUGGCGUACUUUUUGUAGAACGGGCCGGCGAGUUACGGUAGCAAGCGAGGUUAAGCGGUAAGCGGAGCCGAAGCGAAAGCGAGUCCGAAAAGGGCGAAAGUUUGCUGCUGUAGACCCGAAACCGUGCGACCUACCCAUGGCCAGGGUGAAGCCGGAGUAAGAUCUGGUGGAGGCCCGAACCACGUUGGCGUUGAAAAGCCAUGGGAUGAGCUGUGGGUAGAGGUGAAAUGCCAAUCGAGCACGGAGAUAGCUGGUUCUCCCCGAAAUAGCUUUAGGGCUAGCCUCAGGGUAGGACCUAUGGAGGUAGAGCACUGAAUGGGCUAGGGGCCAAGGAGGUUACCGAACCCUAUCAAACUCCGAAUGCCAUAGGUUAAUACCUGGGAGUCAGACUACGAGUGAUAAGAUCCGUAGUCGAGAGGGGAACAGCCCAGACCUCCAGCUAAGGUCCCAAAGGGCAUGUUAAGUGGUAAAGGAAGUGGGACUUCGAAGACAACCAGGAUGUUGGCUUAGAAGCAGCCAUACAUUUAAAGAGUGCGUAACAGCUCACUGGUCGAGAGGUCCUGCGCCGAAAAUGAACGGGGCUCAAACAUGCCACCGAAGCUGGGGCUAAACAGAAGUCAGAUGUGAGAGGUCAGAGGUGAGAAAAUGAUAAAGACGUAUAAGGAUCUCAGAAUAUAUCAACAAUCAUACAAGCUAAGCAUAGAGAUACACAAGCUAACCCAGAACUAUCCUGGGUAUGAAAGAUACGAAUUAGGGAGUCAACUAAGAAGGGCAGCAACAUCAAUACCGUUAAAUAUAGCCGAAGGAUAUGGAAAGAAAGAAUCAGAGGCAGAUUUUAAGAGGUAUUUAAAGAUAGCGCUUGGAUCAAGCAAUGAAAUAGAAGUAUUACUAGACUUAAGUUAUGACUUAGGAUAUAUAGAUAAGACAUUGCAUAACGAACUAAUAGAAGAAUACACAGCUUUAAGGAAGCAAAUAUACACGAUGAUAAAGAAGUGGAGAGUAUCCGACAUCUGACUUCCGACAUCUGACUUCUGUUUGGGGUAGGGGAGCGUACUGUACGGGUAGAAGGCCAAGCGGAAGCGAGGCUGGACUGUACAGUAGAGAGAAUGCCGGCAUGAGUAACGAGAGUAAGGUGAGAAACCUUACCGCCGGAAGCCUGAGGUUUCCUGGGGAAGGGUAAUCCACCCAGGGUAAGUCGGGGCCUAAGCCGAGGCUUAAAGCGUAGGCGAUGGGGAACCGGUAGAUAUUCCGGUACCACCGAGGGCCGCAAAGAGAUGCGGGGACGCAGCGAGAUAGGUGGAGCGUGCGGUUGGUAGGGCACGUUCAAUCAGGCACCGAAGGGUACGUAGGCAAAUCCGCGUACUGGCAGGGGUCUGAGAAGGGGAGCCGGAAGGCGAAGCCACCGAAGCAGCUGCCGAGAAAAGCCGCUAUCGAGGCCUGAGGUGCCCGUACUACAAACCGACACAGGUAGGCGAGGAGAGAAUCCACAGGCGAGCGGGAGAACCCUCAUUAAGGAACUCGGCAAAAUGACUCCGUAACUUCGGGAGAAGGAGUGCCGAAAGGCCGCAGAGAAGAGGCCCAAGCGACUGUUUACCAAAAACACAGGUCUCUGCUAAGUCGGAAGACGAAGUAUAGGGGCUGACGCCUGCCCGGUGCUGGAAGGUUAAGGGGAAGUGUGAGAGCACUGAACCGAAGCCCCAGUGAACGGCGGCCGUAACUAUAACGGUCCUAAGGUAGCGAAAUUCCUUGUCGGGUAAGUUCCGACCCGCACGAAAGGCGUAACGACUUGGGCGCUGUCUUGAUGAGGGGCCCGGUGAAAUUGUAGUACUCGUGAAGAUGCGAGUUACCCGCGAUUGGACAGAAAGACCCCGUGGAGCUUUACUGUAGCCUGUCACUGGAUUUUGGUAAUUCUUGUACAGGAUAGGUGGGAGACAGAGAAGGUAGGGCGCCAGCCUUACUGGAGUCGACGUUGGGAUACCACCCUGGGAUUACCGGAAUUCUAACCUAUAGCCGUGAAACCGGCGUAGGGACAAUGGCAGGUGGGCAGUUUGACUGGGGCGGUCGCCUCCUAAAGGGUAACGGAGGCGCCCAAAGGUUACCUCAGCGCGGACGGGAAUCGCGCGAAAGAGUGCAAAGGCAGAAGGUAGCCUGACUGCGAGAGAGACAUCUCGAGCAGGGACGAAAGUCGGGCUUAGUGAUCCGGCGGCAGUGAGUGGGAACGCCGUCGCUCAACGGAUAAAAGCUACCCCGGGGAUAACAGGCUGAUCUCCCCCAAGAGUCCACAUCGACGGGGAGGUUUGGCACCUCGAUGUCGGCUCAUCGCAUCCUGGGGCUGAAGUAGGUCCCAAGGGUUGGGCUGUUCGCCCAUUAAAGCGGUACGCGAGCUGGGUUCAGAACGUCGUGAGACAGUUCGGUCCCUAUCCGUCGCGGGCGUAGGAAACUUGAGAGGCACUGCCCCUAGUACGAGAGGACCGGGGUGGACGAACCGAUGGUGUACCAGUUGCACCGCCAGGUGCACAGCUGGGUAGCCAAGUUCGGAAGGGAUAAACGCUGAAAGCAUCUAAGCGUGAAGCCCGCCUCAAGAUUAGGUUUCCCAUCCGAGAGGGGUAAGACACCUCGAAGACUACGAGGUAGAUAGGCCGGGGGUGUAAGAGUGGAAACACUCUUAGCUGACCGGUACUAAUCAGUCGAGGACUUGACCGA
Ribosomal RNA from Thermoanaerobacter pseudethanolicus ATCC 33223, 3349 nucleotides. It matches the Rfam family "Bacterial large subunit ribosomal RNA". The record is from Rfam. Lineage: Bacteria; Bacillati; Bacillota; Clostridia; Thermoanaerobacterales; Thermoanaerobacteraceae.